RNAcentral lists this ribosomal RNA (327 nucleotides) under uncultured eukaryote. RNAcentral describes it as "partial 18S ribosomal RNA". It matches the Rfam family "Eukaryotic small subunit ribosomal RNA", at positions 1470 to 1796 of the family's 1831-position model. The record is from RNAcentral.
CCCUUAGAUGUUCUGGGCCGCACGCGCGCUACACUGACGAAUGCAACGAGCUUAUAACCUUGGCCGAAAGGUCUGGGUAAUCUCCAAAUUUCGUCGUGAUGGGGAUAGAUUAUUGCAAUUAUUAAUCUUCAACGAGGAAUGCCUAGUAAGCGCAAGUCAUCAGCUUGCGUUGAUUACGUCCCUGCCCUUUGUACACACCGCCCGUCGCUCCUACCGAUUGAAUGAUCCGAUGAAUAUCAUGGAUUGAGGAUGCAAGCAGGUUCGCCUGUCUUCAUCUUCGAGAAGUGAAGUAAAUCUUAUCAUUUAGAGGAAGGAGAAGUCGUAACA